CGACAAAUCCAGAGACAGAUUGGGAUUUAAGGUUAGCGUGUCUUCUGUUGUAUGCAUUUGAUCGAGAGGACAACUUUUGGCAGCUCUAUGGUGAUUUUCUACCAAGUUUUGACGAAUGUACAAGCUUGCUUCUAGCCUCCGAGGAAGAAAUUUUGGAGCUGCAGGAUCAAAAUCUUGCUUCCAUCAUCAGAGACCAGCAGCGCCGUG
This 207-nucleotide unclassified non-coding RNA is filed under the name Hevea brasiliensis (rubber tree). Lineage: Eukaryota; Viridiplantae; Streptophyta; Magnoliopsida; Malpighiales; Euphorbiaceae. The record is from RNAcentral.